GCCGCGGCCGGGAGGGACCGAGCGGGGAGCAAGGCCUGCGGGGAGGCGCAGGAUGGACGCGUUGGCUGUCAUGAUGUAGGACCUCCUGACCUAGAACCAUGCCCGGCGCAGGGAGAACAACGAGCUUACGGACCGGGUGCGGGGGCUGCUGUGCGAGAAAGCCUACCUGCUGGCCCGGGAGCGUUCGCCGGCCCACCUGGUGGCUUUCCCUGGACGUUUAACGGCGACUCCGCCCGGCCUCCCGACUUUUUGAUGCAGGCGUUCUCUUACAUGACUUUCUUCGAGGCUAGAUUCUCGAAAGACAUCCUGAAGGUGGCUUUCUUAAUUAGCUGCCUCACCGGCUGGCGGAGCAGUUCGUAGUCGCCUACAUCGAGAGGGAGAGCCCCGUCCUGGCUCAGUACUGGGGCUUCGUGGACGCGCUGUAGCGGGUCUUCGCCGUCGUGGGUAGGAAACAGUCGGGCCGGAUCCCCGGUGUCUGGGGAGCGGCUGCCGGCCGGGCCCGCGCGAGCCGCUUCACUCCUACAAGCCCGGCUCACUAGUUCCAAGCUGCUGGACUUUGACCCUCGCUGGGAAGCUUGAUCGCCGCCUGUUCUCGCCAAUCUCUAUGCCUUUGCACUGCCCAGCAACCCGGUCACUGCCCAGGACCUGUUAAAAGUUGAAUGGACCUCCCAGAAUCACGCCGCUGCCACCGCCGUUUCUAGAGACGGCUUUUGGCCACCUUUGAGAAUCAGGGUCAAACUUGGAAGGGCCUGCAUUUGUCACACUUCCUCGGACACUAAUUUGGAUAGUUCAGGCCCAGAGACGGCUUCCCGGAUCCUUUGCACAUGGCCUGCUAUCAACAAUCCUCUACAAUGAUUCUCAGCAUCACCUAGGGAGCUUAUGUAAAAUCUCAAAUUCCUGGGCCCUAUCCCCAGAGUUUCUUAUCAAGUAAGUCUGCAUUGGGAUCUGAGGAUUUGCAUCUCUAACAAAAAUUCCUAGGCGAUGCUCACACUGUUGGUGUAAGGUUUCCUUGAUGGAGAACUAUCAAAGCAGUCAAAGCUAUCAAAAUAAAAAAGAAUUCUGAUUGGGUGCAGUGGCUCACACCUGUCAUUCCAGCACUUUGAGAGGCCAAGGUGGGCAGAUCACAUGAGGCCAGGAGUUCAAGACCAGCCUGGCCAACAUGGCAGAAACCCCAUCUCUACUAAAAAUACCAAAAUUAGCCGGGCAUGGUGGAACACACCUGCAAUCCCAGCUACUCGGGAGGCUGAGGCAAGAGAAUCGCUUGAACCUGGGAGGCAGAAGUUGCAGUGAAACAAGUUGGUGCCAAUGCAUUCCAGCCUGGAUGAUGGAGCGAGACUCUGUCUCAAGAAAAAAAAAACAAAAACAAAAACAGAACUCUGCCUCAUAGCGUCUUUUAAGUUAUACACUGGACCUAUCCUUUCCUCACUGACAGACAUUUUAAAAAUUUUUUGGUAAGGCCUAGUUCAUAUAAAAUGUAAUCCAAGCCAAAAGUUAACAAGAAUAAGGGGAGGAAAGGGGACUCCAAUAGCAGAGAAAGGUAUUUACCUGGGAUAUACACUGCAAGAAAAUCAAAGCUAUAAGAAACGUCCAUGAAUAGUAGCCAUAAGGCAUCAGAGUGAUAAAAUUCCUGUCCCUAGGAGGGAAUAUUGGAGUUUGCCAGAGAAACAGAAUGAGAGAGACAGAGAGGUUUAUUGUAGGAAUUGGCUCAUAUGAUUACGGAGGCUGAGAAGACCCACGAUCUGCCAUCUGCAAGCUGGAGAAUCAGGAAAGCUGGAGGUGUAAUUCAGUCAAGUCCAAUGGCCAGAGAAGCAAGUGUACUGAUAUCCAAGAGCAGGAGAAAAUAGAUGUCCCAGAACAAGCAGAGAGGCUGAUUUUGUCCUUCCUCUGCCUUUUUGUUUCAUAUGGGGCACUGAAUGGACUGAUGCCCAUCCACAUUAGUGAGGGUGGAUCUUCUUUACUCAGUCUACCAGUAGAAAUGUCAAUGACUUCCAGAAACACCCUCACCAACACACGUGGAAAUAAUGUUUUACCAGGUAUCUGGGCAUCCCUUGGUUCACUCAAGUUGACACAAAAUUAACCAUCACAGAAGGAGACUGGCCUUACUCUGAAAUUAGGAAACUAAAGAAGUGACCAGAAUGGAGACUAGGUAGAGACAACUAGUUCUCUACCAAACAUGUACAGUUAUUCGUUGGUAUCUGAAGGGGAUUGGUUCCAGGAACUCUCAGGGAUACCAAAAUCUGCAGGUGCUCAAGUCAUUUAUAUAAAAUAUUACAGUAUUUGCAUAUAACCUUUGCACAUCUUCCAUAUACUUUAAAUCAUCUCUACAUUACUUAUAAUAAUGAAUGUGUAAAUGCUAUGAAAAUAGUUACUACACUAUUGUUUAUUUGUAUUUUUAUUGAAUUGUUUUGGGGUGGGGGGCAGCUGUAUCUUUCUUAGUAAUAGAACCCCUGGUUUUAGCUGGGCACAUGACUGCCCUCAAUAAAGAUUAAAGUACCCCAGCCUUCCUUGAGAUUGUGGCCAUGUGACUGAACUUUAGACAGUGAGAUAUAAGCAGAUAUCUUCUGUGGCAGUGUUAGGAAACUAUUAAAGACAGUAAGAACAUUGCCCUUUGCCUUCUUUUUCCUUUCUUCAUUUUUCUGCCUGGAAUGCAAAUGUGAUGGCUAACACCCUAGCAGCCAUUUUAGAUUAUGAAGAUGAGAGUCACUCCCCAGGAAGGGUGGACCUGAAAGCUGGAUUCUAGAUGUGGAAUGACAAUACCAGCCCUGGACUACCUACCUGUAGGCUGUGUGUGUGUGUGUGUGAUUGACAGAGAGAGAGAGAGAUAGAUACCACAAGUAACACAAAGCAUCAUACCUGGGACUGGGAAGGUUAAUGUUUAAACAUUUUAAAUGUGGCAUUGGUUUGUUGAAGACAGUCAAGCAGUAGGUGCUGCAGGCUUUGUUGAGGCUAGAAAGCUGUUGGUCUUUAUUAGGUGAUGGCAAAACAAUGGAUCACAUUUUCAUGUGCUGUGUCUUGGGAGGCAAAUGAUGAGAAUGUAGGAUUGGGGAAAAUGGUAAGGAAAAUCCAAAAUGUUCAUGUUUUCUAACCCCUUCUUGCCAAUCUUAAAAGAAGGACAAACAGGCUAGAUUAAGCAAGUCUACAGUUACAAUUGGAAGGAAACACAGCCGUACUAAGGAAGUACUCUGUCUGUGGCCUGCAGUCUAGUUUGACUAGGUCCUGUAUUUGAGCUUUGAAAGAGUAAAGAAUACAAGUGCUCGUAUACCCCUGAAGUAGUUACCAGCAGUGACUGCAAGGAGGUAAUCUUAUGGGAUGAAACUAUAACUCUGUAUUAACCAUCAUAUAUAGCAUAUAUGUGUAUAUGUAUGUGUGUGUGUGUAUAUGUGUAUAUAAAUAUAUGUGUGUGUAUAUACACACAUGUACACACCCUACAACCCAGUGAUUUCAAAAAAUUAAACAUUUGUUUAGCUCAUGAAUCUGUGGGUUGGGUGAACAUUUCUAUUGGUCUUGGCUGGGCUCACCUGUACCCAGUCAGCUGCAGGGUCUAGCUCUUCUUAUCUUGGCUGGGAUCUCACACAUGUCUAGGAUCAGCUGCUUUACUAGUCUAGGAUUGUCUUGGCUGAGACAGGUGGACUACUCAGUUCUCCUCCACUGCCUUAUCCUUCAGCUGGCCAGCCCAGAAAUGUUGCCAUGUUUACAGCAUAAGAGCAAGCAAGAAAGAAUAAUAUGCAACCACUUUUCCAAGCCUAAGGUGAAAGGGCGGGCAGAACCUGUGGUGUUAGGAGGCAACUCAUACCAGCCCAUGGGUCUACCGUUUAAUUUUCAGAAAUUUGGCAAGCUGAUUGUUAACACAGCUGUUGUUUAAUUUAUGUACUUGUAAUUAAAUAAUUUACAUUAAAACAAAGAUAAUAGGUACUCAAAACUCAUGACUUUCUAGUUAUUUUAUUAUAUUUUACUAUUGUCUGUCCUCUUAAGGUGUUUGUUUCUAGUGUAUCUGGUGGAAACACUACUUCAUGUUUCAGUUGUGUCAAACCAGUAGCUUGAAAUCAGCCACUGUUGGAGUGUUUAUACCACAGAAAUUGAUAGAAGCUACAAAUGAAGUGUUGCUUGUUGAUUUGUUUUGUUAAUUGUCUGGCUUAAGAAAGUGGUAGAGAAAACAUUAAUGCAGAUUAAAUUUAAAAGCGUGUUGUGUCUGCGGCCGU
Homo sapiens (human) is the source of this 4199-nucleotide long non-coding RNA. Ensembl annotates it as long intergenic non-protein coding RNA 667. NCBI's taxonomy places the organism in Eukaryota, Metazoa, Chordata, Mammalia, Primates, Hominidae. The record is from Ensembl.